UCGCCCUUGAGUUUGAUCCUGGCUCAGGAUGAACGCUAGCGGCAGGCUUAACACAUGCAAGUCGAGGGGCAGCAUUUCCAGCAAUGGAAGAUGGCGACCGGCGCAAGGGUGCGUCACGCGUGAGCAACAUACCUAUCACAGGAGGAUAAUCCAUGGAAACGUGGUCUAAUACUCCAUAGAAUUGGUUUCUGGCAUCAGGAACCACUUAAAGCUACGGUGGUGAUAGAUUGGCUCGCGUGACAUUAGCUAGAUGGAGAGGUAACGGCUCCCCAUGGCGACGAUGUCUAGGGGUUCUGAGAGGAAGGUCCCCCACACUGGUACUGAGACACGGACCAGACUCCUACGGGAGGCAGCAGUGAGGAAUAUUGGACAAUGGGUGGAAACCUGAUCCAGCCAUGCCGCGUGCAGGAAGACUGCCCUAUGGGUUGUAAACUGCUUUUGUAUGGGAGCAAUAAGCUCUACGAGUAGGGUGAUGAGAGUACCAUACGAAUAAGCAUCGGCUAACUCCGUGCCAGCAGCCGCGGUAAUACGGAGGAUGCGAGCGUUAUCCGGAUUUAUUGGGUUUAAAGGGUGCGUAGGCUGUUAUGUAAGUCAGCGGUGAAAUACCAGAGCUUAACUUUGGGGCUGCCGUUGAUACUGCAUAGCUGGAAUAUGGUUGCUGUUGGCGGAAUGUGUAGUGUAGCGGUGAAAUGCAUAGAUAUUACACAGAACACCGAUUGCGAAGGCAGCUGACAAAGCCAUCAUUGACGCUGAUGCACGAAAGUGUGGGGAUCAAACAGGAUUAGAUACCCCUGUAGUCCUGGCAGUAAACGGUGCACGCUUGGUGUGCGGGGAAUCGACCCCCUGCGUGCCGGAGCUAACGCGUUAAGCGUGCCGCCUGGGGAGUACGGUCGCAAGAUUAAAACUCAAAGAAAUUGACGGGGACCCGCACAAGCGGUGGAGUAUGUGGCUUAAUUCGAUGCAACGCGAAGAACCUUACCUGGGCUUGACAUGUAAUGAACAACAUGUGAAAGCAUGCGACUCUUCGGAGGCGUUACACAGGUGCUGCAUGGCCGUCGUCAGCUCGUGUCGUGAGAUGUUUGGUUAAGUCCAGCAACGAGCGCAACCCCUGUUGCCAGUUACCAGCACGUGAAGGUGGGGACUCUGGCGAGACUGCCCAGAUCAACUGGGAGGAAGGUGGGGACGACGUCAGGUCAGUAUGGCCCUUAUGCCCAGGGCUGCACACGUACUACAAUGCCCAGUACAGAGGGGGCCGAAGCCGCGAGGCGGAGGAAAUCCUAAAAACUGGGCCCAGUUCGGACUGUAGGCUGCAACCCGCCUACACGAAGCCGGAAUCGCUAGUAAUGGCGCAUCAGCUACGGCGCCGUGAAUACGUUCCCGGGUCUUGUACACACCGCCCGUCACAUCAUGGAAGCCGGUCGCACCCGAAGUAUCUGAAGCCAACCGCAAGGAGGCAGGGUCCUAAGGUGAGACUGGUAACUGGGAUGAAGUCGUAACAAGGUAGCCGUAGGGGAACCUGCGGCUGGAUCACCUCCUU
Molecule: ribosomal RNA, 1537 nt
Filed under: uncultured bacterium
Lineage: Bacteria
Description: Bacterial small subunit ribosomal RNA
Rfam family: Bacterial small subunit ribosomal RNA
Source: Rfam by way of RNAcentral